GAUGAACGCUGGCGACGUGCCUAAUACAUGCAAGUCGAGCGAACGGACGAGAAGCUUGCUUCUCUGAUGUUAGCGGCGGACGGGUGAGUAACACGUGGAUAACCUACCUAUAAGACUGGGAUAACUUCGGGAAACCGGAGCUAAUACCGGAUAAUAUUUUGAACCGCAUGGUUCAAAAGUGAAAGACGGUCUUGCUGUCACUUAUAGAUGGAUCCGCGCUACAUUAGCUAGUUGGUAAGGUAACGGCUUACCAAGGCAACGAUGCAUAGCCGACCUGAGAGGGUGAUCGGCCACACUGGAACUGAGACACGGUCCAGACUCCUACGGGAGGCAGCAGUAGGGAAUCUUCCGCAAUGGGCGAAAGCCUGACGGAGCAACGCCGCGUGAGUGAUGAAGGUCUUCGGAUCGUAAAACUCUGUUAUUAGGGAAGAACAUAUGUGUAAGUAACUGUGCACAUCUUGACGGUACCUAAUCAGAAAGCCACGGCUAACUACGUG
Molecule: ribosomal RNA, 497 nt
Filed under: uncultured bacterium
Lineage: Bacteria
Description: partial 16S ribosomal RNA
Rfam family: Bacterial small subunit ribosomal RNA
Source: RNAcentral